RNAcentral lists this ribosomal RNA (253 nucleotides) under uncultured bacterium. RNAcentral's name for it is "partial 16S ribosomal RNA". It matches the Rfam family "Bacterial small subunit ribosomal RNA", at positions 524 to 776 of the family's 1533-position model. The record is from RNAcentral.
UACGUAGGGUGCAAGCGUUGUCCGGAAUUAUUGGGCGUAAAGAGCUCGUAGGCGGUUUGUCGCGUCGAAUGUGAAAACCCGGGGCUCAACCCCGGGCCUGCAGUCGAUACGGGCAGACUAGAGUGCUGUAGGGGAGACUGGAAUUCCUGGUGUAGCGGUGAAAUGCGCAGAUAUCAGGAGGAACACCGGUGGCGAAGGCGGGUCUCUGGGCAGUAACUGACGCUGAGGAGCGAAAGCGUGGGGAGCAAACAGG